UUUUGAAUCUUUUGUUUCACUGGUGAAGGUGUGUGGUCAUCUUUCCGGGAUACAGCAUCGAAAUGUCUGUUGUAAUGGUUACUUAUACAUGUCUUCUGAUAUGAAUCUAAUACUUGAAAUACUUUCUUUCUCCCUGUCUUCUCGUCAAUAUUUUCAAUGCCAAAUGAUUCUGUCUUCCGUAACUUCUCCGGGUUGCGUUCUGUUGUCUUUUGGUGAUUUCCUUACAUUCAUUGUAGAUGUUUUCUGAUUACUGUGGCUUGGUGUACCGUGAAGUGGUCCUGAUAAUAAAUAACCAAUUUUGGAUUUCACGGCAGUAGGUCCAUCGCCUCUAAUUAUAUGGUUGUCUACAAUUGACCAAUAGUAGUCGGCUCCUUCAAGUACUGAGAUGUAAAAAUUGUCGUUCGCGGUGACUGGAUGAGCGAGUUCUAUUCCUGAUAAAUACGGCAAUUUUGCGGCUUUACGGAUGUACGUUUUGAGCGGUGCGGCGAUUUCCGGUACGAUCAAUACUCUGAUCGGCAAUUGUCCUUC
RNAcentral lists this long non-coding RNA (528 nucleotides) under Mytilus galloprovincialis (Mediterranean mussel). The record is from RNAcentral. Lineage: Eukaryota; Metazoa; Mollusca; Bivalvia; Mytilida; Mytilidae.